RNAcentral lists this long non-coding RNA (201 nucleotides) under Mytilus galloprovincialis (Mediterranean mussel). The record is from RNAcentral. Lineage: Eukaryota; Metazoa; Mollusca; Bivalvia; Mytilida; Mytilidae.
GCGUGGACAUCGAUCAUCAAACAUUCAAACCCCGUUGUGAUCCGACAUUUAAUUAUUCAUGUACACAACUUGGCGUGCAAAAUUCAACAGCCUCCUCGGAAAUACUGAUAAACUCGUUUCCCUUUAUAAGAAAAUUGAGUUACCUCCCCUUUUUUAGUACGAGUUGUCUUUCUUGACCGAACUAAUAGUUCAGUAUGUCUU